RNAcentral lists this long non-coding RNA (6266 nucleotides) under Sus scrofa (pig). RNAcentral's name for it is "lncRNA (ENSSSCG00000058672.1)". Lineage: Eukaryota; Metazoa; Chordata; Mammalia; Artiodactyla; Suidae. The record is from RNAcentral.
AUUCUGCGGCAAGGAUGUUUGAGUUUUUUCUCCCAGUCCCUCUGUUCAAAUUGCUUCAUGUUUUGCUGUUGCAACUACGAGGGGCUCAGACUUAAACCAGCAACAUUUGAUUCUAUAGCCAGCGCUCAUGAUGGCAGUGCCAAGCUCUUAUUGUUUUGUUCUGCUCUCAGAGGUACUUUACCAAAGGGUUUUCAAAGCACUGCCUGAAAGUGAGAUCCUGUUGCUCUGCUCUGUCCCAGGUGCUGAAAUUUCAUGGCCCGUGACUGGGAGGGGUGAGCUCAGAGGCUGGGAGACCAGGAAAGGCACCAUGACGUCGGCUUAUGGGGUGUGAACAAGACCAGGAUUUGGGCUGUGCUGAUGGGGAGGAAGGGUUGAAUCCUGGAUAUAUCCCUUCUCCCUUCUCACCAGAAACCUCCUCUUUCUAUUCAGGAGCUUGGUGCUCCCCUUCCCCCAUUCCCUUCCCAAUUAAAUGGAGGUGGCUCAGGCUUCAUGUGUAUUUCAGUCACAGGUAUAUUAAUUUCACUGAGUUCUUAGGCCAUGAUGGCUCUAUGAAUCCUGCCUCUCCUGAGCUAAUGGGAUGGCAUAAAUAACUCCAGGGGAAGCAUUUGGCCCGGCAGCUCCCAAGUCAGGCUGGAGUUCAUCAAUCCUCUGCCGAUUGGUAGCUGAAGGUUCCGACGCUGGGUCAGAGGUCGCGCCUGUCGAGGGCCAGUUCCGUUCUAACAGAUGCCACUCCAGAGAAUCUGGGCCCCCUCUGGUCAGAGGAAGGCAGCACUGGGAAAUUAGGAAUCCAGCCUCUGAUGUCUUCCUUGGCCCAGAGACAGACAGACAUUCAGCCAGCUCACGGAAUGGGUGCGGACAGCAUCUGGCUCACCCUCCCAAGCUCUUGCCAGUCCGCUGGGAGAGUCCAGCUCAUCCUCCCAUGGCCGGGAGGAGGGGUCUUGUCAGAGAAGCACCACAGCUGCCUGUUGGUCUGCUGUCUGCCCCAGCCCACAGCUUACCUCUCCAGCUGUAUGAGAGUCUUCACCUCUCCUGGGACACAGGAUGGCAGCAGGUUUAAGAACGCCCCUGCAGCCAGAUCUUGGCUCCAUCUCUUACCUUGGAGACUUUGAGCAAGUGACUGAAUGCCUCUGAUUCUCUGUUUCCUCCUUUGUAAGAUCAGUGGGGAAUGAUAAGGGCCAUGAUGUAGCCUGACCCUAUACAACCACAGGGCUUCCUGUAAGGACAUCAUGAGCGACCGAAUGUAAAGUCUUAGACCAGGGCCUGGCGCAUCAGAAGUGCUCACCAUCAGCCUCUGUCCUUGGGGACCUCCUCUGUCCUGGUUUGUUGGGAUGCAUCCUCUGCAGCCUGUAGAUGCCCUGGUCUUCCAUCCAGCAUCCUAGGGGAAGGGCAGAAUCAAGAAUCAGGGCCCUCACUCCUGGGGCUCUGAGGCUCCUUCCAGCCCAAUUGGGAAUUUUCCAGGUCUCAGCACAAUCAGAGGGGUCAACCUUCAGCUCCUCCGUUGCUCUCCAUUGGUGGCCGUUGCCAUCCUGCAUUGCUGCAGGCAGUGGAUCGGAUCUUCUGGGCUGGAUCACUGCUCAAGCUGCCUGCUAAGCUGCUUGCUUGGGGGGGACUCUGAGGAGUGGAGAGGGAGUUCAAGUUCCGAGGAGUGUCUGGUGCCCCCUUCCUGGUGCAUAAGACUUUACAGUCUACUAAGUCCUUUUAUCCCUUUUUUGAGAGUCUCAGGGAGACUGGCAGGUUAGGAAUGCUCCCCAUUUCAUAGAUGGAGGUGUUGAGGCUUGCAGAGGGAUGCAGGUUGCCCGAGGGCACACAAUGAGGGCAGCAGAAUCACUUUGCAGUCAUCCACUUAUGCAGCCUCCCCAGUCCUAGAACGAUGUGGUCCCCAGUCUUGCCUCUUAGCCUGCCAGCUUCUCCUAAUGAAGGCUGAGCUCAGGCUGCCCCCUGGAGACAGGCACCCUGAGACCGUAACCCGCCCCCCUCCACAGGGCCCCUCCCUCCAGCAACUCCAAACAGGAGCAGGAAGUCUGAUUGCCCAAGGCCCUGUCACAUAUUUAUUUUCAGAAGUCACUGGGAUAAACCCAUCUCCCAGAGAUGGAGGUUUAAUUCAUUAAGCUUAGAUGAUUAAUUACAGGGCAAUUAAAUAUUUGAUUAAAUUAAUCCUAAGGUGUUUAAACAUUGUUUUGCAAAGAAUGUUUGCUCAUUAAUUAGAAUAGCUAAAUGCACGCAUUAAGCAGGGGAGGGGGUUGCAGGAGAGGCAAGGAAGCCUUGAGCUUGUCCCCCUGAGGCUCUUCCCCGCAGAGGCUGGAGUUGUCUCUGCCCAGAAGAGCUGUAUGUGCCUGAAAUCUUCCCGUGGAUUCACAAGGAGGUGGCCCUUGGCGCCUCUGUGCUCUCAUUUGCAGAUGUGUCUGGGGAGGGUCAGGAAACACGAGGUGGGGCCCCCGACUCUGUCACUGAAAAACCAAGUGUCCUCAGGGCCUCAGUCUUUCCCUCUGCACAGUGGUGAGGAUGUCUGCUCCCCAGGGUCUUCUGGGUCUACUCCUAAGGGGUUUCACCCAACUGGAUCUCCAUGUCCAUGUCUAGUCAAAGAGAAUCUCUUCUUUGCGACUGCUCCCCAUCCCUGCAGGCUCGCAGCAUCUCCUGUGAGGCCUCUCCCUCCACUGGAUGCCCAGUUCGGGCCAGUUAGUAGCCAUGAUGUCAAAUAAAAACAAAGCUGGGCUUCCAGAGGGGAGACUUUAUUACCAAGAAAGACUACUGCAUUUGAAAAGGCUCUGGGCUCAGAAAUCUGCAAGCAUCUCAAAAAUCACAGAGCAAAAGGCUUUUUCUUUCAUAGGAUGUAUGGGGAGCCAGCCAAGAUAAGCAGACUCUUUCAAGGGGAAGCUGGACAAACGAGGGGAAAUGACCAGUGAGGUGUGACAGGAAAGAGUCCCCUGUGGUCAUGGAUUCUCAAGGAGAAACAGAUAAGGUGGCGGAGUUUGGGUGGCCUCAGGGGAGGAAACAUUCCAUUUCUUCUGGGUGCUUGCUCAGGCUUGGGACCAAGCAGAGGUCAGGGAAAGAAAGAAGUCUGCCUGAAGUGUGGCCAGGACAAAGCAGAGGGUAGGCAAUGGCAGCUGGGGACACUGGGUCAAGGUCAAAGCCAGUUUCAUUGGGUGGUGGGAUGGGAGCCAGACCAGUGUGGGUGAGAGGGAGGCACGGAAGUGAGAACAGUGAGUGGGGACCAUUCUUCUAAGCUUUGUUGUGGGAGGGUGGGCAGGGCAGAGAGAUAGGGUGGAGCUAGAAGGGCCAAAGAAUGAUGGUGGGUUUUUAGAGGAGGAAUCAUGGAGCACAUGUUAAUGCUGUUGUGGCGACUGGUGGUGGAGGAGGGCAGUGGUGUGCCAUCUGCUCCUGCUGGCUGCUAUCUCUGCUUGUUCCUUUCUAUCUACUGUAACCAUCCCCAGGUGUACUUCCUCUGCCCUUAGGGUCCUGGGGCUCCUCAUUGCCCUGGACAGCACCCACCCCAGGAUGGGCAACCACCUGCAGGACUCCCUGGGGCAGGUACCUCAGAGCCCUUGACCUGCCGAACCUGCCAGGGGAACUGCAGGCACAAAUGGUCCAGCCACUGUGGGGCGCCACUGGUCCUGAUCCUGCCAAUAGCUAGCAGUGUGACCUUUAGCUGUUGCUUCUCCACUCUGGCAGGGUGUGAACUAGGCCCAUUCAGGGCCCAACUCUUGCUGCUUUAACCCCCCACUCCAUGUGACUCUCGAUGUCCACAGCCCUCUGGCCUUCUUCUGUGCUGUUGUUGACACUUUUUCCUUAAUUUCCCCACUGCUCCAUCCUUCCCCUCCCUCCUAGUCCAGCUUAGGUUCACUGCCCCCUAAAGCCUCCCUUGACAGCCUAUGGUGGCCAUGCCUGCACCUUCCCUUGGCUCAGAAUAGCUCCCUCUCCAGCCCCCCUUCCCUGGUCAGCCACCCUGAGCCCCAGUCUUGUUCCAAGAGGAUCUGGAGCAGGGGCUGCACCCAGAGUCUCUCCCUUUGGCUCCGCAGGAACUGGGACCCACACACAAACGAAGUUCCGGGAACUCCUGGCUUCCCCUGAGCAUCCCAGGGGCAGGGCCAACACACUUUCCACCUGCAGAACCAAUGCCUUUUCCAAUGAGAGGGCCUGGGCCACCCUCCCCUUUCCUCCUACACCCACCCGCUGCUCAGCUCAGCAUUUGCAUCACCAAGAGGGUAGGAACAGUCAAUUCCAUAGGUGAGAAAUAAAACAGUGGAGGGGGCAGCUAAGCUUUCCUUGCCACCCCCCCCCAAGUCUGAGACGGGAGACAGCCUCUGCAAAUUCCCCAGGCCUGGAAGCUUCGAGUUACUUAAAACAAAUGCACACUUAACUGUCUCAGUUUUGGAUGUUUGAAUUCUCUAUUUCAAGCUUGAGAGGAGAGGAGAUUGCCUUGCAGGGAGACAGUGUGAUGUGGUAAAGGAAACACUAGGUGAUGGGCAAUCACGGUGGGGUUUCCUUUGGAAUUUGUGCCCUGCCAUUUCCCAGCUGCGUGAGUAUGAGGCAGUGCCUUCUUCUUCUCUGUGCUUCAGUUUCCAUCUGUAAAAUGGGGAUAUUAGCUGUAACCUCCGCCUGCCUGCCUCAUAGGUUUGACGUUAAAGUCAAGUGAGGGGUCCGUGGGACCGUCCUGGAAACAGGUGGCUCAUGGGUGGUUUGGAGUAAGAGGUUCUUUAGCUGCCCGGGGCUGCACUGUGUUUGCCCAGGAGGUGUGGGUGCUGUGCAGGGCUCCUCUUUCAGCCCAGAUCCCAGUGAAGCUGUAACUGUUCUGGCUAAUUGGAGCAGAACAAAAGUCUCCCCCAGCGCAGCAGAAAGAAGCAACCAGAGAGAGUGCAGUGGGGGCAGACUGCUGCAUGGGGAAGGCUGGCGGUGGGUGGGGGUGUCUGGGGAGCAGACCAGGAGUCUGGAAGGGACUGGAGUGCAGGCUCUGGGGGCACUACCACGUCACCCGAGGGAGGGAGGCUGGAGAUGGACGUUGGCUCUCAGUGAGAGGUCGCCAUCAGUUUCAGUGACUCCUCUGGUCUUUACAAGUUUUUAAAAUUGAAGAAUCACUCUUGGAGAUGCUUGGUACUGCGUCUUUCGUGACUGCCAAUUGAAACCCAGGUGCCCGGAAAGGCAGAAAGAAUUCUAUCUGAAAACAUCUUUUAUGCGCCUGUGCUUGCUAGUCAUUACACAGCUAGAAGCUAUGCUCAAGCCUUCGUAAACGAAAACAUACCUUCCUAAAAUGAUGACUUGAUCAAAUAACAUGGGGCUGGAAGUUGAAAGGCCUGGGUUGAAAAUCUAGCUCUGUCACUAGGGGCAAAUUUCAUUAUUAAUUCAACAUGAAGACCAAAAUGAAAGGCAUAAAAUCAUCUUACUAGUCACUCUCCAAAUAAUUUAGCAUUCAGACAUUUUUAAAAUUAUAAUUUAAGAGUUAACGGAUUCUUCAAUAGAAUGAAGCAUACCUAUUUUAUUUUAUUUUGUUUUUUUAUUAACAAAAAACUUUUUGACCUCACCCAUGGCCUGCAGAAGUUUCGGGGCCGGGAACUGAACCUGAGCCACAGCAGUGACAAUGCCGAAUCCUUAACUCCUAGGCCACCAGGGAACUCCAAGCAUACCUAUUUAAACCAAAAAUCAGCACUGAUAAGCUAAGUUCAAAUCUAGGAACAAAAAUGAACUCCUGUUAACAUCACACUGAUAAUUAAUGAACCAGUUAACGGACAUCCUAUCAAGUUCCUCAAAAGAUUUAAGGGAGUUUCACUUGAACUUGAGGAUGAACAACUUUGAACAGCCUCAUCAAUUCAGAAAGGCAAGAUAAAAUAAGCUGGGGGCAGGGAUGGGCAGCAUGAGAACAUUUGCAUGGAUAGUGGAUACAAAAGGAUCAGUAAAAAUUUAUGAAUUAAGUUUAAGGAGGAAGAUGAAUGCAAGCUACAAGCAUAAGAAUUGAUGGUUUUCCUGAAUGCUAGCAAUAGCUAGAAAAUAUAAUGAAAACAUCCAUUUAUAAUAGAAACAAGUGCUCUAACAUACUUAGGAAUAAACAUAAUAUAUGCCUGACCUUUAUAAAGAAAAUUGCAAACUUGAUGGGGUGGGGGCAGGGUGAGAGGCAGCAUAUAUUUCAAGAUGAUCACAUUGGCUCUGGUGAAAAUGUCUCAGUGCUUUAGGUUAAUUUACAAACAUAACCUACCUUCUUCAGUCAAUCCCAACAGUAUUUUUCUGAACUCAACAGAGCCUGGAAAAAGGAACAGAGGAGGGUUUCAAAGGACAUU